RNAcentral lists this ribosomal RNA (301 nucleotides) under uncultured bacterium. Its description in RNAcentral is "partial 16S ribosomal RNA". It matches the Rfam family "Bacterial small subunit ribosomal RNA", at positions 509 to 807 of the family's 1533-position model. The record is from RNAcentral.
CAGCAGCCGCGGGAAUACGAGGGGGGCAAGCGUUGUUCGGAAUUAUUGGGCGUAAAGGGUGCGUAGGCGGCUUGACAAGUCUUGUGUGAAAUCUAUGGGCUCAACCCAUAGUCUGCACGGGAAACUGUCGGGCUUGAGAAUGGGAGAGGUGAGUGGAAUUUCCGGUGUAGCGGUGAGAUGCGUAGAUAUCGGAAGGAACACCUGUGGCGAAAGCGGCUCACUGGACCAUUUCUGACGCUGAUGCACGAAGGCUAGGGGAGCAAACAGGAUUAGAUACCCCGGUAGUCCCUGUCUCUUAUAC